Molecule: ribosomal RNA, 495 nt
Filed under: uncultured bacterium
Lineage: Bacteria
Description: partial 16S ribosomal RNA
Rfam family: Bacterial small subunit ribosomal RNA
Source: RNAcentral
GACGAACGCUGGCGGCGUGCCUAAUACAUGCAAGUAGAACGCUGAAGGAGGAGCUUGCUUCUCUGGAUGAGUUGCGAACGGGUGAGUAACGCGUAGUUAACCUGCCUGGUAGCGGGGGAUAACUAUUGGAAACGAUAGCUAAUACCGCAUAAUAGUAGAUGUCGCAUGACAUUUGCUUAAAAUGUGCAAUUGCAUCACUAUCAGAUGGACCUGCGUUGUAUUAGCUAGUUGGUGAGGUAACGGCUCACCAAGGCAACGAUACAUAGCCGACCUGAGAGGGUGAUCGGCAACACUGGGACUGAGACACGGCCCAGACUACUACGGGAGGCAGCAGUAGGGAAUCUUCGGCAAUGGACGGAAGUCUGAACGAGCAACGCCGCGUGAGUGAAGAAGGUUUUCGGAUCGUAAAGCUCUGUUGUAAGAGAAGAACGAGUGUGAGAGUGGAAAGUUCACACUGUGACGGUAUCUUACCAGAAAGGGACGGCUAACUACGUG